Molecule: ribosomal RNA, 482 nt
Filed under: uncultured bacterium
Lineage: Bacteria
Description: partial 16S ribosomal RNA
Rfam family: Bacterial small subunit ribosomal RNA
Source: RNAcentral
AUUGAACGCUGGCGGCAUGCCUAACACAUGCAAGUCGAACGGUAACACGCCUAGGGUUGCCGACUAGUGGUGGCGGGGGGCGGAAGAGUAAGGAAUGUGUCCGAUCCUGGUGGGUCACGGGGCAAAACGUUUGCUAAUACCGCAUACUAUCUAAUAUGGCCAACGGGUGACCGCAAGGGCUUUCGCGGACUUGGCGGCCGAUGGCAGAUUAGGUAGUUGGUGGGAUAAUAGCUUACCAAGGCGACGAUCCGUAACUGGUCUGAGAGGAUGAUCAGCCACACUGGAACUGAGACACGGUCCAGACUCCUACGGGAGGCAGCAGUGGGGAAUUUUGGACAAUGGGCGCAAGCCUGAUCCAGCCAUGCCGCGUGGGUGAUGAAGGCCUUCGGGUUGUAAACCGCUUUUGUUAGGAAAGAAAAGCCGUAUUUUAAUACAGGAGUGUCAUGACGGUACCGAAAGAAUAAGCACCGGCUAACUACGUG